RNAcentral lists this non-coding RNA (60 nucleotides) under Terriglobales bacterium. Its description in RNAcentral is "Acidobacteriales bacterium Fluoride sequence". It matches the Rfam family "Fluoride riboswitch aptamer (crcB RNA motif)". Lineage: Bacteria; Pseudomonadati; Acidobacteriota; Terriglobia; Terriglobales. The record is from RNAcentral.
CGGAGAGAAGGGAAUGGGGUCUCCCGAAACCGCCGAGAGGCUGAUGACUCCUGCCAAUUC